UAAACUCGAUUAUACCUACUCAGGUGCUUUGUGACGUUUGAGUCUACGGUUCGGCGUCGUUUCUUUCUUCUUUGUUCAUUUUGGUUUUCAAACGGCUUACACGAUAUACAGCUGGCUUGCUAUGUUUGGUAUCGGGAGUAGAAAAGUGCUCAAGUAUUCCGCCAUUGACACUUCCUUAGCCCUGGACGUCGAGGACACCGUAACUUGCUUCUGCAGUACGCGCGAGAAAUUUAGUGGAAUCAGCGAUAAUCACUUGGAGUCAUCGUCAUCGUCCUCGGUAUCCGCAUCGGGGAUACAUACGCCGAUAAUGAUGCGGUCGCCGGCACGGGGGGCAGUCGCCCUUAUGGAGACGACGACGUCCUCAGCCUCGGCGCCCGCCACCCCCGUGCACAACUCCUCCUCGUCCUCGUCCUCGGCCACCGGAGCGACGAACGUCUCCUCGCGACUCUCCCUCUUUGAUACCUGCCACAGGAAGAUACGACUCUUCGGUGAACUAGUCGCAAAAGCCCGACGGAAGGAGAAAGAUGCUGGAGCCACGGAAGAUCCCAAAUUGUACCUUGAGGAAGCCGCUUUGGAACGGCAGCUUCCGGAACUUGACCUGAGGAUGCUCGUCGACCUACCGGCUGGUCUCGAUUACAACGAAUGGCUGGCCUCCCACACUCUGGCACUUUUUGACCACAUCAAUCUCUUCUAUGGAACGAUAUCAGAGUUUUGUACGAUGACCGGAUGCCCCGACAUGACGGGCCCUGGUUUGAGGACAUAUUUAUGGUUUGACGAAAAAGGAAAAAAGACUAGAGUGGCUGCUCCACAAUACAUAGACUACGUCAUGACAUUUACACAACGUACUGUCAGUGACGAAACAAUAUUCCCUACUAAAUAUGCCAACGAGUUUCCAAGCUCGUUUGAAUCGAUAGUGCGUAAGAUCCUGCGAUUGCUGUACCAUGUUGUUGCGCACAUAUAUCACUGUCACUUUAGGGAAGUUGCACUAUUGGGAUUGCAUGCGCAUCUCAAUUGUGUAUUCGCCCAUCUUACACUUCUUAAUCAACGCUUCAACCUUAUCGACCCGAAGGAGACUGAGAUCCUUGGGGACUUAGAAGCUGCUCUUUUAGGUGAUUCUACGCCUGCUUCUUCACAACCCCCAGCCAUCCAGGAAACUCCAACCACGACUACCUAGGUAGAUCCUGUUAAAUGAAGCUAGAGGUUGCAGUUCCUGAGAUCAGAUAACGCUAGACGUUAACUGUUGACUAUAGAGUUAUGAGAAUUUUGGAGUUUCCAUACAGAAUAUAGGCAAGUGGAUGAAAAGCGCAGUUCUGUAAAAACCAGUAGUACCUGUACAUAGAGAAGUGUGGAAAACAACUACAUGAUGUAAUUAGGGUUCCUCUGUUUGUUGUUUCUACAUGGGAUCCAGAUUAGACGGAACGAAUAAACUACCCCUUUGCAAAAUACGUGUACUUCUGCAACAGGAUUUCUACUAGCUGAAACAAUCGCACACAAAGAAGAAUCAGUACUCGAGAAUGACGUAACAAAAUGUUCGAUAGUAACUGCUGUUCCGUUCAUUAAUACAUUAUUCAUUUCCGUUAUUGUGAUACAAUCGACCUUUAGACUCAUGGAAUAAUGACGUUACCUAUAUUUUUAUACUAGUUACAAGCGGCAUACAUAAUUAAUUAGGAUAAUUCUACUAGUUAUUACUAGUUGUAUGACUUAUUGUGUAGCCUCUUGUCACGUACAACUGUUGGUGCAAUUGUUCACUUCCACAAUCCUAAACGCCCUGAAUACCUGAGCUAUCUCUCUUAAAAAGAAACCAAGUCCCUCGGCUAUUGGUUCACAGAGAUCUCGAAAAGAUGUAGCUAUGUUGUACAAUAGUAUGAGUACCGGUUGUAUCGUGGCAUUGAAUAAUAUUGACAAUGAAGGCUUCAGAAAGUAAUCGGCAAUCAUUUGUACUACUCCCACUGUAAGUGGCCUUACUAUGCUGAAGAGCAAAAAUCUUAUCAGCUGUAGUAUAAAAGCUGUGACAAAGGCUAUCCCUAUGUGAAUUGUACCGAAUAUUUCAGCCCAGAAACGAGUCGCGAUGUAAUCCGUUCGUUCCGCGCAUUUCUCUGUAGCGAGUAUCGGCGGGGCAUCAGUUGUUCGAUAGUACCUGUCGAUGCACAGUGACGACCCUUUUACUCAACCGUAACAGUUACUUUUGACUAUCUAUUAUUAAAGAAAUGGUAGGAAAUUUUAGAAAAACGUACGCCGAAUUGCCGUGAUCAAAGUAGUAGAUGUCUAUCUUUUCCGACGUAUCGUCAAUGCCGUUUCCCGAAGAUUUUGGUUUUUCAAAAUCCCGUUUCUUCUUAUUGGGAAUGCCUUCUGAUAGUUCACAGCAUACAUAGCUCUAAAUUAAACUCACUUACUAUAAAAUAGUGAUUAGUGAUUGAACAUUUAAUCUGUACCUUUGGGUAAUUCUGAUAAAGGUCCUUCUUAACUUUUA
RNA transcript from Diprion similis, 2470 nucleotides. It is a transcript of the gene named MOB kinase activator-like 2, with no coding region annotated. The record is from RefSeq and is a predicted model, not a curated record. The transcript is spliced from 7 exons. NCBI's taxonomy places the organism in Eukaryota, Metazoa, Arthropoda, Insecta, Hymenoptera, Diprionidae.